CGAACGCUGGCGGCAUGCCUAACACAUGCAAGUCGAACGAGAAAGCACCUUCGGGUGUGAGUAGAGUGGCGCACGGGUGAGUAACGCGUGGGAACCUGCCAAGCAGUACGGAAUAACGUUUGGAAACGAAUGCUAAUACCGUAUACGCCCUUUUGGGGAAAGAUUUAUCGCUGUUUGAUGGUCCCGCGUCUGAUUAGCUAGUUGGUAGGGUAACGGCUUACCAAGGCGACGAUCAGUAGCUGGUCUGAGAGGAUGAUCAGCCACACUGGGACUGAGACACGGCCCAG
This 287-nucleotide ribosomal RNA is filed under the name uncultured Magnetovibrio sp. RNAcentral describes it as "partial 16S ribosomal RNA". It matches the Rfam family "Bacterial small subunit ribosomal RNA", at positions 30 to 334 of the family's 1533-position model. Lineage: Bacteria; Pseudomonadati; Pseudomonadota; Alphaproteobacteria; Rhodospirillales; Magnetovibrionaceae. The record is from RNAcentral.